Molecule: small nuclear RNA, 96 nt
Filed under: Sciurus vulgaris (Eurasian red squirrel)
Lineage: Eukaryota; Metazoa; Chordata; Mammalia; Rodentia; Sciuridae
Source: RNAcentral
GCUUCAGCAGCACAUACACAAAUUAGAACAAUACAGAGUAUUAGCUUGGGCCUGUGCAAGGAUGAUACACAAACUUGUGAAGUGUGCCAUGCUCAA